Molecule: ribosomal RNA, 934 nt
Filed under: uncultured fungus
Lineage: Eukaryota; Fungi
Description: eukaryotic LSU rRNA
Rfam family: Eukaryotic large subunit ribosomal RNA (bases 569-934)
Source: RNAcentral
GGAAGGAUCAUUCACAAACGAGUGUUUUAUGGCACUCUUUAAAAAUCCAUAUCCACCUUGUGUGCAAUGUUUGUUGGGAAAGUCUUUUCUUUCCCUUCAUAAAUAUCAACCUAUAUCUUUAACAACAUUCGUCUGAUAACAUAUUAUGAAUAUACUUAAUUCAAAAUAUAACUUUCAACAACGGAUCUCUUGGCUCUCGCAUCGAUGAAGAACGCAGCGAAAUGCGAUACGUAAUGUGAAUUGCAGAAUUCAGUGAAUCAUCGAAUCUUUGAACGCAUAUUGCGCUCUUUGGUAUUCCGAAGAGCAUGCUUGUUUGAGUAUCAGUAAACACCUCAACCUCUCUUUUUGACAAAAAAAGAGAGGGUGGACUUGAGCUAUCCCAACGACCUUCACCGGUAGGCGGGCGGCUUGAAAUGCAGGUGCAGCUGGACUUUUAUCUGAGCUAAAAGCAUAUCUAUUUAGUCCUCGUCAAACAGGAUUAUUACUUUUGCUGCAGCUAACAUAAAGGAUAAUUGUCCUCUUUGCUGACUGAUGCAGGAUUUUACGACACUUUAUGUGUUGUUCAACUCGAUCUCAAAUCAAGUAAGACUACCCGCUGAACUUAAGCAUAUCAAUAAGCGGAGGAAAAGAAACUAACAAGGAUUCCCCUAGUAACGGCGAGUGAAGCGGGAUGAGCUCAAAUUUGAAAUCUGGCUGGUUUACUAGUCCGAGUUGUAAUUUAAAGAAGCGUUUUCGGUGGCAGCCUGGGUAUAAAUCCUUUGGAAUAGGGUAUCAUAGAGGGUGAGAAUCCCGUCUUUGACCUAGUGCAUGCUACUAUGUGAUACGUUUUCAAAGAGUCGAGUUGUUUGGGAAUGCAGCUCAAAAUGGGUGGUAAAUUUCAUCUAAAGCUAAAUAUUGGCGAGAGACCGAUCGCGAACAAGUACCGUGAGGGAAA